AGCCCAGCUGAGGAGGCGGGGACCGCACACGACGGGCGCGCCGCCCGAUUGGCCGAGCGCCACGGAACCUGCUCGGCCCUCUGAUUGGUUCGAGCGGCGACGCGCCCUCUCGGAUGCCUCGCUCGGAUUGGCCUGUUUCUCGGCGCAGACCUGGACGGUGGCCAGAGUUGGACAAGAGGCUCCUGUGCGGGAUGGAGGGACGGACUUAGGCGGACUUCUGAGCUGCGCUUCUACCGGCGGCUGGGAUCCAGGGGUAUGGCGGCCGCCUAGGUGAUGUCCGUGCUCCUGGUGGCGACUGAGCGGACCCGGCGGCAGCGUGUCCCGAGCCCGCCGCCGCUGCUGCUGCCGCUGCGGCCGAGGUCCAAAAGGUAACUGGCUCUCGAAUACUGUCUGGGGAAAACUUGUCAUGUCUGCUAUGUGGAAUUGGUGUUCAAAAAUGAAAUGCAAAAAUGCAGACUAUCCCAGCACAUACUGGUUAUUGGUACUCCAGGGAGAACAGGAGACUUUAGAGGAUAUCUUUGUUGCGCUGCUUUCUACCUGAUGCCAGUCCAUCUGUUGCAAGUCAUCAGUUCAUGAGAUCCAUUUCAAAUUCUGCUGAAGAAGGAAGAAUUAACCCUUAAAAGGUUCAACAUUUUAUAAUAGUUUUGAAAGAGGGUAAUGUUAUUCUAAUUAACAUAUUUAAGAAUUAUAGCCAGGAUUUUAAAAAUAUAUUUGU
Pipistrellus kuhlii (Kuhl's pipistrelle) is the source of this 715-nucleotide long non-coding RNA. RefSeq lists it as uncharacterized. NCBI's taxonomy places the organism in Eukaryota, Metazoa, Chordata, Mammalia, Chiroptera, Vespertilionidae. The record is from RefSeq and is a predicted model, not a curated record. The transcript is spliced from 3 exons.